Molecule: long non-coding RNA, 216 nt
Filed under: Nicotiana benthamiana
Lineage: Eukaryota; Viridiplantae; Streptophyta; Magnoliopsida; Solanales; Solanaceae
Description: long non-coding RNA (NBEN_LNC019027)
Source: RNAcentral
AAGAAUUUGGGCGAUAUGCAUACUUUAAUUGAGGGGGAAUAUUCAAUUAAGGGGGAAUUACAUUGAAUUGAAUUGGUUGCAUAAAUUGUAUGUUGCAUAAAUGUUGAGAUAUAGCAUCUACUUAGGGGGAAUUCAAUAUGCAUAUCUUCCGUUGUUUGUCAUUAUCAAAAAGGGGGAAAUUGUUGGAAAUCAUGUAUAUCUAUGAUAUGUGCGCNN